This 3712-nucleotide long non-coding RNA is filed under the name Daphnia pulex (common water flea). RNAcentral's name for it is "uncharacterized LOC124190608, transcript variant X1". The record is from RNAcentral. Lineage: Eukaryota; Metazoa; Arthropoda; Branchiopoda; Diplostraca; Daphniidae.
AAAAUUCUUAAAAAACACACAUUUUUAUUUUUUUUUAAUUUACUCAAAAUUUCAAAAUUUUAAAAGAAAAGUGAGAUAGCAAAGUGUAAUUACACCUUUUAGCAUUAAUCACCAAAAAAAGAAUUUUUUUUACUUUGAAAAUGUGUUUUAUAAUUCAAGUAUUCCCAAAAGCGUUUUUGGUGGGAUAUUUGGGACGUUAAUCUGGGGUUUUUUGGGACCAAUGUCUGUAAUGGGCGGAGCUUAGCUCAGUGACAACGCUGAAAAAAUAAUAAUUUUAAACAAUUUAUUUUCUUAAUUUAGCAAUAACCUAAAAUCAUAGCGAAAAACAAAUAGGCCUACUGGGUGGAAAUUAUAUAAUAGCAUGAUAUUUUUAAAAGAAUAUAUAACAAUUUUUUGGUGCUAAAUUUAGAGUGUUUCACCCUGUCCCAUAUAAACCCCGAAUUUUUCCACGCCCACUUUUUUUCGCAACUUUAAAAAAUGGUAGCGGGUAAACUAACGACUCUAAAAUAAAAUAAGAAAUACUGUAGAUAGAAAAAAGUUAGACAAAUACAAUAAAACAUUUAUUUUACAAAUCGGAUGAUUAGGAAAGGACCUAAACGAGAAAAACGAAAACCGGCCCAAAUAACCCCACUCUCCCUAUCCCCUCAUUGUCCUACACACUCUUCAUAUAAUUAGAUUACUGCUAUAUCCACUCGAAAAUCUUGUUAGUUUAUUUGUUAUUUCCUUUUGGUACUACAAGGGGUCUAGACACCGAGUUAUAACCAUUUCACGCCGAUAACUUCUAAACGGCAUAAAAGAUGUCGAUGCGGUGCGGACAGUAAUUUGCGUGACGUGGCGCUACGCACUACUACAGUAGGUACCGAAAGUAUCCGUACGGCUGAGAGGAUCAGUAAGGAAAACGCGUUUUUCAAAACGCCCCCAUUAAUAGAAUUCUCGGUGGAAUUCAAUAAAUAUUUUUUCUAAGGUUAGUAUUAGGGUGGGGUUUCAUGUGAAUUUUUUGGGGGAUUUUUCAACAACGCGAUAUGUGGUUCUUAUUGCGUUGCGAAAGUAUCCGUACGGCCGAGAGGCCUAGUAGAAAUUGGGCUUACAUUGGGCGCCUGUUAUUCGGUAACUAUAUAAUAUUAUAGAGCGAAACAGUUCUUAAAACCAAGAACUGCAUUAGCUGUAUGUGUGGUCAUAAAAUCACAUUUUUUUAAGUUUCAUUUAUAGUAAUGAAAUUGAAUAUGAAAACACGAAUUAUAAGUUUUCCGUUUAUUUCCCCUCGAUUCCCCCUCAUCAGUGUUGCCAUAUCCCAAAAUCCCUUCUUCCCUUGGACGGACGAGGGAGAAAGAGAAAGGGUAAAGAUUUUACUAAUAAAGCUAAUACCAAGAGGGACCAGCCGUUACGCGGCAAAUUAAUUUUCUUGAAAACGCCCCUUACCAGUUCUUCAGUCCUGAUCUUGAAGAAUGGAAAGAAGAGAAAAAAGGGGUGCUCGGUUUUCAGCAUCUAUUUUCUUGUGGAAGGAUCUAGUCUACGUUACACAAAUGAAAAGAAAAAUGUCUUUCAUUAAAAAUUAAUAACAAGAAAAGUCAAAUAAAUUUCUAGUUAUAAACGAUCACCCGAUAGUUAAGUUAAAUGCCAUGAAGAAUGUAUAAAAAAGGGGAAAAAAAGUAAAACAAUUCUUUAACUCAGGAACUUAGGAAGUCUCCUAAGCCUCCAUACAAAAAAAGUAACUGGUUUGUAUAGAUCUUAUUCGAAAAAAGUAGGCAAAACGCGGCAAAACGCUAGACGUGGUGCGCAGCAUACGCCAAUGCGAAACAAUGUGGCUCAAAGACGAACUAAUCUUUUAUUUGAGCUUUUCAUUCCUUACAUUUUUGUAGGCGUGAUUACCUCUGUCAAACUUGGUAGGACUGUGGUGUAAAGCACGGUGAUGAGAAGAACAAACGGAGACUAAAAGACAGUGAAAUUACAAGUUGUUUGACAUAGGCCUGUAUAUUUAAUCAUUUUUCCUGUAAGAUAUGAUAGAUCAGAGCAAAUUAUAAGCUGUUUGACACAUACCUAAUGUUCCUAUAAAAUAGUCAACGCUCUUGAAGAGAGAUCACGCACGACGCACGACUUAUCACGCAGGGGAGGGGGGCCGGAUAUUUCAUGAAAAAAACAUGUAACUUUUUCUGUGCGGCGAUUAGAACGACGGAAAAAUGAAGAGAUCCCCCAAAGACAAUUUUGCUGUGGAUUCCGUAUCCUAUACUUACGGUGCUCGCAAGAAAAAUAAGACUGCACUCUCGUACUUGUUCGGUCUACAUAUUUGUAGCUGGUGUACAAAUUCGUCUUUGUACACCUUUUGUACACGUUUGUAUAUCCUGUACAGGAAAACUAAGAUUUGUACGCCUCAUGUGGAAGUAUGAAAAUUAGUUUUUUUUUUAGUUUUUUACUCUUUUAGCGAAAGGAAGAGACCCACAAAUCUAAUUUUUGACCACGUUUCUCUCCCAUUCCUAAACCGCUCUAAUCUCAAGUUCUUUCUUGAAAACCCAUAAUGGAAAUCCAUAAUGGCGGCUAAAAACAAAAAAUUGUCUAAGUCCCAUCACUGAAAUUCAAUGGGGCUAGAUGUUAGUAGUGUUGAUAUCUUUGUGGCAUUCAGUUUUUUUAAUGAGAUAGAGAGUAAGUGGGCUUUAAGUACGCAAUCCAAAUUUUUUUGUAUCCUUGUGUCAUCCCCCCCCUUUUUUAUUCCCCCCUUUAAGUCCUGGUACUUGACGCUUGAGUGAAGAACGAGUUAGUUGUUUCUUAAACUUAGAGAAAAAUGGCAUAAAAAUAUGCAGAUGUUAUGUAAAGGAGUUUUUACGAUUACUAAAUUAUUCGGACCGCGAACGAGGUUCCUCAACUUAUGUUGGAUUCCCCUGGUAGAAGUGGCUUCAUCCCUUUUCUGCCAGGAGAGAUUUUCCGACCUUUGGCAGUUCUCGUUUCGUUGACUUCGAAUGCGGAUCUUUGAUUUGGGCAGAUUUUCUUUUGAAACAUCCUUAGGUGAAAAGAAGCUUCCAGAAAGACUUCAUCGAGGAAUACUUCAAUUGACUCGUUGCUUACGUAAACACUUUAAAAAAGGACAUAUAGUGCUCGCACGAUGGAGUUAAGGCUCUUAUGCUUUUGUUGUCCACACACCCCAGCAUGUUAAGCAUUCGCAAGAUACCUGCUACUCAGCUCAUGGAGAGAUUCAUCGUGUUCAGAGACGAGAACAUUUACUUAGAGGACUUUGCCUCUGUUUCAAAACCCGUCUAUUUGAAACAACCUUUUCUUGUGUGCGUCGGUUCUGUGGCUAAUCCUGGCCCUUUCUAUUUAAUAAUAGAUCACACCGUCAUCCCAUGCGACGAAGAUAUUGAUGUUGCCUUCCGAAACCUCUACGCUUCGUUUUACACUUUCCAUAUUGAUUAUCCGUUUCACAUCAAAAUGUUCUACGCCUUCUUCGAUGAAAUCGUGUUUAGAGUGGAAAGUAAGAAGGAAAUAAGAACGACGAACCGGAAUUUUGCAAACGUGUUACAGAAAACAGUGCCCCGUACUCACGGCCAUGCUACUGUACACGAUGAGGAAUCUGAAAUUUAAAUCUUGGCAUAGUACUGCUCAUAAACUGGACUACCGAUAUUGUUAAUUCAUUCAUUGCUUUGUCGUUUUUUUCUUGACGCUGCGGAAUGCAAUUACUGUUUGUAUUACUUCAUCUCUUUUUUUUUACUUCACCUUUUUUCAA